GCUCCUAUGGUGUAAAAAACACGUUGGUUUUUCGUGCCAAAAAUGAACUAACUAGGUUCUAGGGGUC
RNAcentral lists this transfer RNA (67 nucleotides) under Hippopus hippopus. RNAcentral describes it as "tRNA-Glu". Lineage: Eukaryota; Metazoa; Mollusca; Bivalvia; Cardiida; Cardiidae. The record is from RNAcentral.